RNAcentral lists this ribosomal RNA (428 nucleotides) under uncultured bacterium. RNAcentral describes it as "partial 16S ribosomal RNA". It matches the Rfam family "Bacterial small subunit ribosomal RNA", at positions 354 to 796 of the family's 1533-position model. The record is from RNAcentral.
GUGGGGAAUAUUGGGCAAUGGGCGCAAGCCUGACCCAGCAACGCCGCGUGAGGGAAGAAGGUCUUCGGAUUGUAAACCUCUGUCCUUGGGGACGAAAAAAAUGACGGUACCCAAGGAGGAAGCUCCGGCUAACUACGUGCCAGCAGCCGCGGUAAUACGUAGGGAGCGAGCGUUGUCCGGAAUUACUGGGCGUAAAGGGUGCGUAGGCGGCUUGGCAAGUCAGAUGUGAAAUCCCCGGGCUUAACUCGGGAGUUGCAUUUGAAACUGCUAGGCUUGAGUGCAGGAGAGGAAAGCGGAAUUCCUAGUGUAGCGGUGAAAUGCGUAGAUAUUAGGAGGAACACCAGUGGCGAAGGCGGCUUUCUGGACUGUAACUGACGCUGAGGCACGAAAGCGUGGGGAGCAAACAGGAUUAGAAACCCUUGUAGUCC